AAAUUUUGUUGAAUUGAAUAAUUCUGCAGGAAAAAUCCUAGUUUUUAUUUCUUUUUACAGAGGGCAUGCUGGCCCCGCUGCUUCAUGAACUCCCGUGAGUCAUCAGGGUCCUGUGUAGCCAAUCACGGGCAGGUCAACCUGCAGUGGGCUUAAGUAGCAGGAGCUCAAGCUGCCCUCGUAAUAUGUAUCAAUUUGAGCUGGUGUCAUCCUCUCUUCCUGGAUGCCAUUUCCUGUUGGAGUUGAUAUACAAGAAAAUGUGCCAGAAUUGGUCACACAGAACAACAACAAAAAAGCUAUGAGGAAGAUAUGCACACCUGUACCUGAUCAUUUCUAGUGACUUUCCAAGAGGCAGAAGGAACUAGGUGCACCUCAUCCCAAAUCAUGUUGACCAGCAUCAUCUUUGGGUUGAGUGGUGUGGAGGUUCAAAACUCACGCGCGCGCGCACACACACACACACACACACACACACUUGCGCAUCUGAGCCCCAUCUCUGUAGGUUGGCACCAUGUGAUCUGAAACAUGUUCCAGCUCAUUUCUAUUCACUGCAACAGGACACCUCACAUGUGCCUCCCUUUCUCUGACACCCUCUUCUCAAUGUCAGCUAAAUAAAAUGCCAUGAAUUUUAAUCCACUCCAAACCACUGUUUCCUUUUUCCUACAGAAUAAAAGUCACUGUUAGUUCAGAAAAACUCCCAAAUCCAAUAACAAUUAGAGAAGCAAUCCAUAGUUUUAUGAAAUAAGAACACCCCAUCCCCCAACAAAUCCCCGAGGAAUUACCAAAAUGUAGAAAGAAAUUCAGUGAAGGCUGAUAAAGAUGAUUCGAGAAAGGAUUAUUGCCACUGUAUGGACUUGCACUUGUUUAAAGAAGUAUGGAUAAAUGCUCAGGAGCAGAUGGCACUAAAUCAACUGCAUUCUUUAAUAACUUUUACACAAAUCUCUUUAUGAAAAACUAAGUUGGAUAUUUCCAAUUUCCUCACAACUGCAAUUACACAAAAUCAAGUUGUUUUUCAUUUACAAAUCCUGACACCUUAAAUGCUGAGCCAUGCUUCCCAAUAGCACAUUUUCCUUUUGCAUUUUCCCUUUCUUUUCAUCAUCCUGGGUGUUUCCAGGGCUGUGAGCAAUGAACUUUCCAUCAGGCACAUUUUCACCUAAUUAACCCCCCUGAUUACAAUAAUUAGUAUUGAUUCACUCUUUGAAUGACUUUGUAGGUAUUCAAGCACAAUCUGUACUUGCUAAAGUUCUAGAUAUGAAUAUUAAUCAACCACUCGCCUCUGGUUUUUUUCAGACCCCAAAGGAUAUUUUGCAAUUGUAUUUACCCAUAUUUUUAAAAAUAAAAACGGUGAUGCUUCAUUUUAACAAAUAAAAGCAUUUAAAAGCAUGUAGGUUAUAGAUCUCAGUAUGUGGUCCGCUAUACACAGCUUGUGAAUAUUCCCAAGGC
RNAcentral lists this long non-coding RNA (1437 nucleotides) under Marmota monax (woodchuck). Lineage: Eukaryota; Metazoa; Chordata; Mammalia; Rodentia; Sciuridae. The record is from RNAcentral.